UCAACCCAUUUAAGCUUCUAACCCAUCAAAUUAAAUGAGUUCAUGGGUUGACUCAACUCAUUUGCUUAAAUGAGUUGAGUCAACCCAUGAACUCAUUUAACUCUAAACUCAUUGGGUAAUGAGU
RNAcentral lists this microRNA precursor (124 nucleotides) under Arabidopsis suecica. Its description in RNAcentral is "MIR405". It matches the Rfam family "MIR405 microRNA precursor family". The record is from RNAcentral. Lineage: Eukaryota; Viridiplantae; Streptophyta; Magnoliopsida; Brassicales; Brassicaceae.